RNAcentral lists this ribosomal RNA (500 nucleotides) under uncultured bacterium. RNAcentral describes it as "partial 16S ribosomal RNA". It matches the Rfam family "Bacterial small subunit ribosomal RNA", at positions 28 to 523 of the family's 1533-position model. The record is from RNAcentral.
GAUGAACGCUAGCGGCAGGCCUAAUACAUGCAAGUCGAACGGUAACAUGAGUAGCAAUACUUGAUGACGAGUGGCGCACGGGGGCGUAACGCGUAUGCAAUCUACCUUUAACUGGUGAAUAGCCCGAAGAAAUUCGGAUUAAUACAGCAUAGUAUAUUUGAAUGGCAUGAUUAAAAUAGCAAAACUCCGGUGGUUAAAGAUGAGCAUGCGUGACAUUAGCCAGUUGGUGAGGUAAUGGCUCAGCAAGGCGACGAUGUCUAGGGGAUCUGAGAGGAUUAACCCCCACACUGGUACUGAGACACGGACCAGGCUCCGACGGGAGGCAGCAGUAAGGAAUAGUGGACAAUGGUCGAAAGACUGAUCCAGCCGUGACGCGUGAAGGAUGACGGCCCUAUGGGUUGUAAACUUCUUUUGUAUGGGAAAAAACCCUUCUACGUGUAGAAGGCUGAUGGUACCAUAAGAAUAAGGAUCGGCUAACUCCGUGCCAGCAGCCGCAGUAA